RNAcentral lists this ribosomal RNA (363 nucleotides) under uncultured Enterococcaceae bacterium. Its description in RNAcentral is "bacterial SSU rRNA". It matches the Rfam family "Bacterial small subunit ribosomal RNA", at positions 8 to 353 of the family's 1533-position model. The record is from RNAcentral. Lineage: Bacteria; Bacillati; Bacillota; Bacilli; Lactobacillales; Enterococcaceae.
AGAGUUUGAUCAUGGCUCAGGACGAACGCUGGCGGCGUGCCUAAUACAUGCAAGUUGAACGCUUCUUUCUUAUCGAACUUCGGUUCACCAAGAAAGAGGAGUAGCGAACGGGUGAGUAACACGUGGGUAACCUGCCCAUCAGCGGGGGAUAACACUUGGAAACAGGUGCUAAUACCGCAUAAUGCUUUUUCUCACAUGAGAGAGAGCUGAAAGGCGCUUUUGCGUCACUGAUGGAUGGACCCGCGGUGCAUUAGCUAGUUGGUAGGGUAACGGCCUACCAAGGCAACGAUGCAUAGCCGACCUGAGAGGGUGAUCGGCCACACUGGGACUGAGACACGGCCCAGACUCCUACGGGAGGCAGCA